RNAcentral lists this ribosomal RNA (305 nucleotides) under uncultured bacterium. RNAcentral describes it as "bacterial SSU rRNA". It matches the Rfam family "Bacterial small subunit ribosomal RNA", at positions 337 to 640 of the family's 1533-position model. The record is from RNAcentral.
UCCUACGGGGCGCAGCAGUGAGGAAUAUUGGUCAAUGGUCGGGAGACUGAACCAGCCAAGCCGCGUGAGGGAUGAAGGUACAGAGUAUCGUAAACCUCUUUUGUCAGGGAACAAAGGCGGGGACGCGUCCCCGGAUGAGUGUACCUGAAGAAAAAGCAUCGGCUAACUCCGUGCCAGCAGCCGCGGUAAUACGGAGGAUGCGAGCGUUAUCCGGAUUUAUUGGGUUUAAAGGGUGCGCAGGCGGUCUGUUAAGUCAGCGGUCAAAGCCCGGGGCUCAGCCCCGGCCCGCCGUUGAAACUGGCAGU